GGCCCCUAGUGAUUUCGGUGAUUAAUGACAAUAUUGAUUACUGUGACUAACGUGUGUUUUGCAGAAGCAAAGUCAUAGGUAAGGUCAUGGUAACAGGUACUCGAUGGACAGGGACGUACAUGCCUACUUAAUAGUGGAAAUCGUUUUGGUUUUCAAAGGAUGGAUGGACAUCGUCAAGACUAGAAUAGGUCUAAGUGCCAUAUGGUGAAGAAGGGCACUUAGAGUAGUUUAGGACUUUGUUUCCCUUUGACCGUACUAUUAAGAGGGACUAGCUACUACAACAACGACGUCCAGGUACCGAGCUGUAUGUUUCCGAUAUGUAUGCAAUUUUUUUCGAUUCCGACUCGGACGCGGUAUGCAGGUACGUAUGCUUUCGUUUUUUCUUAUAUUUCUUUUCCCCUUUACGUAUGUUUAUCUUUUUUUUUGUUUUUAGCAAGCAUAAUCUAAAUUAGUAAAUUAGUGAGAUAUAUAGGAAUGGUGCUAAAACUUUUCCACAAAUUAAACAUCAUAUUAAAUAGGUUAUCAUAAAAUUUUUAUGAUAAUGAGAACAUAUCAUGUGCAACCCAGCUUCAUGUGCAAUCUAUGUAACCAUCAACUAAGGUCAUAGGAUCUAGAUCCAACGUCUGAGGUUUUUUUCACUUAAACCCUUUCAUUUAGAUACACAUGGGUU
This 670-nucleotide long non-coding RNA is filed under the name Sorghum bicolor (sorghum). Its description in RNAcentral is "long non-coding RNA (SBIC_LNC011870)". The record is from RNAcentral. Lineage: Eukaryota; Viridiplantae; Streptophyta; Magnoliopsida; Poales; Poaceae.